RNAcentral lists this ribosomal RNA (465 nucleotides) under uncultured bacterium. RNAcentral describes it as "partial 16S ribosomal RNA". It matches the Rfam family "Bacterial small subunit ribosomal RNA", at positions 338 to 795 of the family's 1533-position model. The record is from RNAcentral.
CCUACGGGAGGCUGCAGUAGGGAAUCUUCCACAAUGGGCGAAAGCCUGAUGGAGCAACGCCGCGUGGGUGAAGAAGGUCUUCGGAUCGUAAAACUCUGUUGUUAGAGAAGAAAGUGCGUGAGAGUAACUGUUCACGUUUCGACGGUAUCUAACCAGAAAGCCACGGCUAACUACGUGCCAGCAGCCGCGGUAAUACGUAGGUGGCAAGCGUUAUCCGGAUUUAUUGGGCGUAAAGGGAACGCAGGCGGUCUUUUAAGUCUGAUGUGAAAGCCUUCGGCUUAACCGGAGUAGUGCAUUGGAAACUGGGAGACUUGAGUGCAGAAGAGGAGAGUGGAACUCCAUGUGUAGCGGUGAAAUGCGUAGAUAUAUGGAAGAACACCAGUGGCGAAAGCGGCUCUCUGGUCUGUAACUGACGCUGACGUUCGAAAGCGUGGGUAGCAAACAGGAUUAGAUACCCUUGUAGUC